CCUACGGGUGGCAGCAGUCGAGAAUCAUUCACAAUGGGGGAAACCCUGAUGGUGCGACGCCGCGUGGGGGAAUGAAGGUCUUCGGAUUGUAAACCCCUGUCAUGUGGGAGCAAAUUAAAAAGAUAGUACCACAAGAGGAAGAGACGGCUAACUCUGUGCCAGCAGCCGCGGUAAUACAGAGGUCUCAAGCGUUGUUCGGAAUCACUGGGCGUAAGGCGUGCGUAGGCUGUUUCGUAAGUCGUGUGUGAAAGGCGCGGGCUCAACCCGCGGACGGCACAUGAUAAUGCGAGACUAGAGUAAUGGAGGGGGACCGGAAUUCUCGGUGUAGCAGUGAAAUGCGUAGAUAUCGAGAGGAACACUCGUGGCGAAGGCGGGUUCCUGGACAUUAACUGACGCUGAGGCACGAAGGCCAGGGGAGCGAAAGGGAUUAGAUACCCGGGUAGUC
RNAcentral lists this ribosomal RNA (445 nucleotides) under uncultured bacterium. Its description in RNAcentral is "partial 16S ribosomal RNA". It matches the Rfam family "Bacterial small subunit ribosomal RNA", at positions 338 to 795 of the family's 1533-position model. The record is from RNAcentral.